RNAcentral lists this non-coding RNA (21 nucleotides) under Caenorhabditis elegans. The record is from RNAcentral. Lineage: Eukaryota; Metazoa; Nematoda; Chromadorea; Rhabditida; Rhabditidae.
UAUUUUUCGAAAAAAUUGCAU